AUUUAUUGCUAUAAACUUUUCUUUUAGAACUGCUUUUUCAUUAGUGCGCAAUAGAGUAUUAUUUAGAAAAAGAACUGCUUUUCCUGCAUUUCUUAUAUUUUGAUAUAUUUUGUUUCCACUUUAAUUUGUCUGAAGAUAUUUUUUAGUUUUCCUUUAAAUUUAUUCAUUGAUCCAUUGGUUGUUAGCAUGCUGUUUAAUUUCCAUGAAAUAUGUAGAAAUUCCCAAAAUUCCUUCUGUUAUUGAUUUCUAGUUUCAUACCAUUUUGGCUGGAAAAGAUAAUUGAAAUAAUUUUAAUCCUUUUGUAUUUGUUAUUUCUUGUUUUGUGAACACACGAUCUAUAUUGGAGAAUAUUCUAUGUGCACUUGAAAAGAAUGUAUAUUAUGCUGCUUUUGGAUGAAAUUUUCUGUAUAUGUCUGUUAGGUCCCUUUGGUCUAAAGUGUAGUUUAAGUCUGAUGUUUCCUUAUUGAUUUUCUGUCUGGAUAAUCUGUCCAUUGUUGAAGCUGCGGUAGAGAAGUCCUUUACUAUUUUUGUAUUGCAAUCUAUAUCUUCCUUCAGAUCUAUUCAUAUUUGCUCCAUUCAUCUAAGUGCUCAGAUGUUGGUUGCGUAUGUAUUCACAAUUGUUAUAUCUUCUUGAUGAAUUGAUUCCCUGAUGGUUACAUAGCAAUUUUGUCUCUUUUUGAAGUUUUGACUUAAAGUUUAUUUUAUCUGAUAUAAGUAUAGGCACUCCUGCUCUCUUGGUUUUUAUUUACAUGGUUUAUCUUUUUUCAUCCUUUCACUUUCUUUCCAUAUGACUUUCAGUUAUAAAGUUGAAGUGAGUCUCUCUUAGCAGCAUACAGUUGGGUCACUUAAAAAAAUCAUUUAUUCACUCUCUCUUUUGAUUGAAGAAUUUAAUCUAUUUACAUUCAAGAUAAUUAUUGAUAAGUAAGAAGUUAGUACUAUCAUUUUAUUAUUAUUUUCUGGUUGUUCUGUAGAUUCUUUGUUCCUUUCUUCCUCUCUUGCUAUCUUUUUUAGUGGUUAGGUGAUUUUCUUUACAGCAUACAUUGAUUCUUUUUCUUUUUUUUUUCUUUUUUUUGAGACAGGGCCUCAUUCUGUCCCCCAAGCUGGAGUUCAGUGUCAUGAUCAUGGCUCACUGCAGCCUCGACUUCCCAGACUGAGAUCAUGGCUCACAGCAGCCUCAACUUCCCAGACUCAGAGACAGUGCUUCAUUAUGUUUCUCAGGCAGUCAAUAACUCCUGGGCUCAAGGGAUCCAGGCCACCACGGCCUCCCAAAGUGUUGGGAUUACAGGGUCUGGUGAUGAUAAACUCCCUCAGCUUUUGUUUGUCUGGGAAAGCCAUUAUCUCUUCUUUGUUUCUGAAGCACAGUUUGCCAGGUGCCUUAUGAGUUUUUGCAGAUAUACCCACAGACACUUAAAUGAACGAAACAAGGAACAACAAACAGGACACUUGCUACACAUGCCGAGGACCCUCACUUUAGGAAUAUGUAGAAAACAAUGUGGCAUUUUCAAAUGGAUAAAAAGCUGUUCAUAUCUCCCACAAUUGACUGAAUGUUCUAAGCUUAAAUAAACAAUUAUACAAAUAAUGACAGUGAAGUCAUACAAAACUAUUUAAUUAAUGUAUAUUCAAUUAUAAAUCCAAAGACAGGAAUUUUAAUGGUUCAGAUGACUCCAGUUUGCCCAUCCACUAGCAAGCACACAUCUUAUAUAGGGAAGAAAGUGGGAGACUAGAGCCUGCUGAUCCCUCAACUAGUCUUAGGUCUUGCCUGCUGCUCACGUUUAUGAGCAGCUUUUCAUUCUGAGGGUAAUUCUUGAGUUUAAGACACACCUUAGUCUUACAAUAUACUGCUUCAACACAAGCUAUCUUUUUAUCUGGUACUCAGCUGAAGAAGCCACCCUAAGAAGUAAGUGUACCCUUGAAUUUUACCUUGGGCUCUUUCUCUGGAAUCUCAUGCCUUGGCCUACCCCAUCACAAUGAGCUGUGACCCACACUAUGUUUUAUAAAAAGUGAUCUUAGCUGUUGCUUCUAUCCUUAGUGUUCAUUGUGUAUUUUCACUGUAGAAAGUUUCUAAAUACUUACAUAUUUCUGGGCCUUGUGGAAUUCUCUGGAGUACUCUUGAGGUAUUUCUCAUGGCAGGCCAGCUGCAAGAGAGUGGGUAGGGAAUGUGAGCCUUGUGGAAGUUAUACCCCCAGUGCCUAGCCAGCACAGUGCCUGGCCAGACUAAGUACUUGGCAAGCAUUACUUUUUAAAUGGAUGAAUGAAUACAUUGCUUUCAUUCAAAGAGGUUAAUGAUGACAUAUUCUUAACACAUGAAUAAUUCUUUAGUGCUUAAAUUACCAAUAAAUGCAAAGAGAAUCUGAAAACAAAGAUUUUUCUAAUUUUUCUGAUUGACACUGGUGUUUCAAUGCACAUUUAUGUAAUACAGACCUCAUCUACAUUUCUUACUUCUGAUGGAAGCAAGUAAGCCAGUUUAACAAAAAUAAACACUGGCAUGCAAUUAAAUUUUUGGAUAACCUGCACAUCCUUGGAAGCUUCAUUUACCUUUCCCUUUUUACUCAUUACCUUUUCUUAUGCAUCUAACACUGACAUCCAUCUCAGCUACCAUCAGCAUUUUGGAUUUUUCUUACUGAUAUGAACAUUUUUAUGCAGUUGUUUUUAGAAUUUCAAGAGUCAAGAGUGACCUAAGUAAUUACUAGGUGUUUUAACCCCUAGUGUGUAUUUUUGCAUAAUUUAAAGAUUCCAAGUCAUUGAAUUUUGCUAGUAUUUUUUCAUUUGCUUCAUUAAAUCAAUUAUACCUCUUGUAAAAAGUAAACUUUGUUUUCCUUAGAGCCCUGGAAACCAACAGGUAUACCCACAUUGCAGCCACUUAUUUCUUUCUUACUGAAAGAAUCCUAAGAGACAAUAAUAAUUAUUCUCAUAACAAAU
This 2919-nucleotide long non-coding RNA is filed under the name Homo sapiens (human). RNAcentral's name for it is "HSALNT0096245". The record is from RNAcentral. Lineage: Eukaryota; Metazoa; Chordata; Mammalia; Primates; Hominidae.